Molecule: ribosomal RNA, 470 nt
Filed under: Nipponnemertes jambio
Lineage: Eukaryota; Metazoa; Nemertea; Enopla; Monostilifera; Cratenemertidae
Description: partial large subunit ribosomal RNA
Rfam family: Bacterial large subunit ribosomal RNA
Source: RNAcentral
UAGUCUUUUGAGGUUUUAUGAGAGAUGUUUUCUGCUCAGUGAUAAUAAACAGCCGCGGUAAUUUGACUGUGCGAAGGUAGCGUAAUCAUUUGCCUUGUAAUUUGAGGCUUGUAUGAAUGGAGGUACAAAGGCUUAUCUGUCUUGAUUGAGUUUUUGGAAGUUGUUUUUAUUGUGAAGAAACAGUGAUGAGGUAAUGGGACAAGAAGACCCUUUUGAGCUUUACUUUUUUAAGAGUGUUUGCUUUUGUAAAAGUUUGGUUGGGGCGAUCGAGGAAGAUGUGUGGAUCUUCCUUUAUAUAGAUAUAUAGGAUCCAGAAUUUUUGAUUAAAAGAAUAAGUUACCAAAGGGAUAACAGCGUAAUUUUUUUUGUGAGUUCUUAUUAAAAAAAAAGAUUGCGACCUCGAUGUUGACUUAUAAUUUCCUUUAGGUGUAGUUGCUUAAAAGGUGGGUCUGUUCGACCUUUAAAAUUUU